CAUUCAAACGACGUCUUUGAUACAACGGAAUUUAACGAUAUUGCUAUUUUAUAAAAUAAUGAGAGAAGGCCUGAAAAACAUAAGUACUCAUUUGUGUUUAAAAGAUUAAAUUAGAAAAAGGAAAGAAAUGAUUGAUUUCGCAUAUUUCAAAUUGUAAAUUUUCGAUGGGGGAGGUGGGUGUGGUUCUGGAGCUUUUUUUCUAUAACAAAGAAAAUUAAUCCAUAAUGCCAAAUUACAUUCUUGAAUUAUUAAGCAAGUCAAAAAUUAAUUGUGAUGGGGUGUCUUUGAGUCUCUACUUGUACUUGUUAUAUCAGUAAUACUGGAAAUUUGUAUAUCUUCGGAUUCCCCUUCGGUUGAACUAGUAAUUAAUUUAAAGUUUUUUAAGCGAAAAUACAAUGUUGAGUUGAAUUGGUUGGAAAAAAGAUAGGAAAUUGGAGUUUACUUUAAAACUGCAGCUUAAAUAUGUUUUUUUUUUUUAUUGUUUAUAAGAAGCAUUUUAUUAUUGAACUUCUAUAUCCGUCAAGAUUGACGAACACUAUGAAACUGUAGCAAAGCCAUUUAGCUAAGGAAAAAAAUGAUACAUUGCUUCUUUCCU
Non-coding RNA from Schizosaccharomyces pombe (fission yeast), 595 nucleotides. Lineage: Eukaryota; Fungi; Ascomycota; Schizosaccharomycetes; Schizosaccharomycetales; Schizosaccharomycetaceae. The record is from the annotation of a GenBank genome assembly.